GAUGAACGCUAGCGACAGGCUUAACACAUGCAAGUCGAGGGGCAGCACAGGUAGCAAUACCGGGUGGCGACCGGCGCACGGGUGAGUAACGCGUAUGCAACUUGCCUAUCAGAGGGGGAUAACCCGGCGAAAGUCGGACUAAUACCGCAUGAAGCAGGGGCCCCGCAUGGGGAUAUUUGCUAAAGAUUCAUCGCUGAUAGAUAGGCAUGCGUUCCAUUACGCAGUUGGCGGGGUAACGGCCCACCAAACCGACGAUGGAUAGGGGUUCUGAGAGGAAGGUCCCCCACAUUGGUACUGAGACACGGACCACACUCCUACGGGAGGCAGCAGUGAGGAAUAUUGGUCAAUGGGCGCGAGCCUGAACCAGCCAAGUCGCGUGAGGGAUGAAGGUUCUAUGGAUCGUAAACCUCUUUUAUAAGGGAAUAAAGUGCGGGACGUGUCCCGUUUUGUAUGUACCUUAUGAAUAAGGAUCGGCUAACUCCGUGCCAGCAGCCGCGGUAAUACGGAGGAUCCGAGCGUUAUCCGGAUUUAUUGGGUUUAAAGGGUGCGUAGGCGGCCUUUUAACUCAGCGGUGAAAGUCUGUGGCUCAACCAUAGAAUUGCCGUUGAAUCUGGGGGGCUUGAGUAUGUUUGAGGCAGGCGGAAUGCGUGGUGUAGCGGUGAAAUGCAUAGAUAUCACGCAGAACCCCGAUUGCGAAGGCAGCCUGCCAAGCCAUUACUGACGCUGAUGCACGAAAGCGUGGGGAUCAAACAGGAUUAGAUACCCUGGUAGUCCACGCAGUAAACGAUGAUCACUAGCUGUUUGCGAUACACUGUAAGCGGCACAGCGAAAGCGUUAAGUGAUCUACCUGGGGAGUACGCCGGCAACGGUGAAACUCAAAGGAAUUGACGGGGGCCCGCACAAGCGGAGGAACAUGUGGUUUAAUUCGAUGAUACGCGAGGAACCUUACCCGGGUUUGAACGCAUUCGGACCGAGGUGGAAACACCUUUUCUAGCAAUAGCCGUUUGCGAGGUGCUGCAUGGUUGUCGUCAGCUCGUGCCGUGAGGUGUCGGCUUAAGUGCCAUAACGAGCGCAACCCUUGCCACUAGUUACUAACAGGUAAAGCUGAGGACUCUGGUGGGACUGCCAGCGUAAGCUGCGAGGAAGGCGGGGAUGACGUCAAAUCAGCACGGCCCUUACAUCCGGGGCGACACACGUGUUACAAUGGCGUGGACAAAGGGAAGCCACCUGGCGACAGGGAGCGAAUCCCCAAACCACGUCUCAGUUCGGAUCGGAGUCUGCAACCCGACUCCGUGAAGCUGGAUUCGCUAGUAAUCGCGCAUCAGCCAUGGCGCGGUGAAUACGUUCCCGGGCCUUGUACACACCGCCCGUCAAGCCAUGGGAGCCGGGGGUACCUGAAGUCCGUAACCGCGAGGAUCGGCCUAGGGUAAAACU
This 1434-nucleotide ribosomal RNA is filed under the name uncultured organism. Its description in RNAcentral is "SSU rRNA". It matches the Rfam family "Bacterial small subunit ribosomal RNA". The record is from RNAcentral.